This 1370-nucleotide ribosomal RNA is filed under the name Salmonella enterica subsp. enterica serovar Typhi str. 404ty. Its description in RNAcentral is "partial 23S ribosomal RNA". It matches the Rfam family "Bacterial large subunit ribosomal RNA", at positions 1 to 1365 of the family's 2925-position model. Lineage: Bacteria; Pseudomonadati; Pseudomonadota; Gammaproteobacteria; Enterobacterales; Enterobacteriaceae. The record is from RNAcentral.
AUGGUUAAGUUAGAAAGGGCGCACGGUGAAUGCCUUGGCACUAGGAGCCGAUGAAGGACGGGACUAACACCGAUAUGCUUCGGGGAGCUGUAAGUAAGCUUUGAUCCGGAGAUUUCCGAAUGGGGAAACCCACUGUUCGUAAUGGAGCAGUAUCUUUAUCUGAAUACAUAGGAUAUUGAAGGCAGACCCGGGGAACUGAAACAUCUAAGUACCCGGAGGAAGAGAAAGCAAAUGCGAUUUCCUGAGUAGCGGCGAGCGAAACGGAAUUAGCCCAAACCAAGAGGCUUGCCUCUUGGGGUUGUAGGACACUCUAUACGGAGUUACAAAGGAACGAGGUAAAUGAAGAGGUCUGGAAAGGCCCGUCAAAGAAGGUAACAACCCUGUAGUUGAAACUUCGUUCCCUCUUGAGUGGAUCCUGAGUACGGCGGAACACGUGAAAUUCCGUCGGAAGCUGGGAGGACCAUCUCCCAAGGCUAAAUACUCCCUAGUGACCGAUAGUGAACCAGUACCGUGAGGGAAAGGUGAAAAGCACCCCGGAAGGGGAGUGAAAGAGAACCUGAAACCGUGUGCCUACAAGUAGUCAGAGCCCGUUAAUGGGUGAUGGCGUGCCUUUUGUAGAAUGAACCGGCGAGUUACGAUCCCAUGCAAGGUUAAGUUGAAGAGACGGAGCCGUAGCGAAAGCGAGUCUGAAUAGGGCGUUUAGUAUGUGGUUGUAGACCCGAAACCAGGUGAUCUACCCAUGUCCAGGGUGAAGUUCAGGUAACACUGAAUGGAGGCCCGAACCCACGCACGUUGAAAAGUGCGGGGAUGAGGUGUGGGUAGCGGAGAAAUUCCAAUCGAACCUGGAGAUAGCUGGUUCUCUCCGAAAUAGCUUUAGGGCUAGCCUCACGUUGUGAGAGUCUUGGAGGUAGAGCACUGAUUGGACUAGGGGCCCCCAACGGGUUACCGAAUUCAGUCAAACUCCGAAUGCCAAAGACUUAUCCGUGGGAGUCAGACUGCGAGUGAUAAGAUCCGUAGUCAAAAGGGAAACAGCCCAGACCACCAGCUAAGGUCCCCAAGUAUACGUUAAGUGGAAAAGGAUGUGGAGUUGCUUAGACAACCAGGAUGUUGGCUUAGAAGCAGCCACCAUUUAAAGAGUGCGUAAUAGCUCACUGGUCGAGUGACUCUGCGCCGAAAAUGUACCGGGGCUAAACGUAUCACCGAAGCUGUGGAUUGACAUCUUAGAUGUCAGUGGUAGGAGAGCGUUCUAAGUGCUGCGAAGCUAGACCGUAAGGACUGGUGGAGCGCUUAGAAGUGAGAAUGCCGGUAUGAGUAGCGAAAGACAAGUGAGAAUCUUGUCCACCGAAUGCCUAAGGUUUCCUGAGGAAGGC